GAUGAACGCUGGCGGCGUGCCUAAUACAUGCAAGUCGAGCGAACAGACGAGGAGCUUGCUCCUCUGACGUUAGCGGCGGACGGGUGAGUAACACGUGGAUAACCUACCUAUAAGACUGGGAUAACUUCGGGAAACCGGUGCUAAUACCGGAUAAUAUAUUGAACCGCAUGGUUCAAUAGUGAAAGACGGUUUUGCUGUCACUUAUAGAUGGAUCCGCGCCGCAUUAGCUAGUUGGUAAGGUAACGGCUUACCAAGGCAACGAUGCGUAGCCGACCUGAGAGGGUGAUCGGCCACACUGGAACUGAGACACGGUCCAGACUCCUACGGGAGGCAGCAGUAGGGAAUCGUCCGCAAUGGGCGAAAGCCUGACGGAGCAACGCCGCGUGAGUGAUGAAGGUCUUCGGAUCGUAAAACUCUGUUAUUAGGGAAGAACAAAUGUGUAAGUAACUAUGCACGUCUUGACGGUACCUAAUCAGAAAGCCACGGCUAACUACGUG
Molecule: ribosomal RNA, 497 nt
Filed under: uncultured bacterium
Lineage: Bacteria
Description: partial 16S ribosomal RNA
Rfam family: Bacterial small subunit ribosomal RNA
Source: RNAcentral